GGCAGCAGUAAGGAAUAUUCCACAAUGAGCGAAAGCUUGAUGGAGCGACACAGCGUGCAGGAUGAAGUCUUUAGGGAUGUAAACUGCUGUUGUAAGGGAAGAAAAAACUAGAUAGGAAAUGAUCUAGUCUUGACGGUACCUUAUUAGAAAGCGACGGCAAACUAUGUGCCAGCAGCCGCGGUAAUACAUAGGUCGCAAGCGUUAUCCGGAAUUAUUGGGCGUAAAGCGUCCGUAGGUUUUUUGUUAAGUUUAAGGUUAAAUGCUAAAGCUCAACUUUAGUCCGCUUUAGAUACUGGCAAAAUAGAAUUAUGAAGAGGUUAGCGGAAUUCCUAGUGGAGCGGUGGAAUGCGUAGAUAUUAGGAAGAACACCAAUAGGCGAAGGCAGCUAACUGGUCAUAUAUUGACACUAAGGGACGAAAGCGUGGGGAGCAAACAGGAUUAGAUACCCUGGUAGUCCACGCCGUAAACGAUGAUCAUUAGUUGGUGGCAAAAGUCACUAGCACAGCUAACGCGUUAAAUGAUCCGCCUGAGUAGUAUGCUCGCAAGAGUGAAACUUAAAGGAAUUGACGGGAACCCGCACAAGCGGUGGAGCAUGUGGUUUAAUUUGAUGAUACGCGUAGAACCUUACCCACUCUUGACAUC
RNAcentral lists this ribosomal RNA (642 nucleotides) under Mesomycoplasma dispar. RNAcentral's name for it is "bacterial SSU rRNA". It matches the Rfam family "Bacterial small subunit ribosomal RNA", at positions 347 to 988 of the family's 1533-position model. Lineage: Bacteria; Bacillati; Mycoplasmatota; Mycoplasmoidales; Metamycoplasmataceae. The record is from RNAcentral.